UAAUGCCAUUUUCUUGCUUGCUGAAAUAAGCAUACUAUUUAUGACUUUUAGAAUUUAUGUAUAUUUUGUCCUAUAUUCUUACAAUGUAAUUAAAUAACCUAAAAACAAUUCUUUCAAAAAACCACUCCCUAUCUGCUAUUAGCCAAUGCCUGUGCUAAUGUGACAGACAUGUCAUUUUGGGACAGGCAUUUGGGAUCACUUCUUUCAAAGAUUCAAUAUGAGGAAAAAAUGCUGCACUACUGGAAAUGGCAUACAGACAAGUGUCAUAAUGCUUGACAAUAACUAUUUUUAAAAACUGGUAUUGUCAAUAAGCUUAUGUUUAGAAAUUCCAAAACUAAAGUUAAAAUCAAAACAGAAAAGCAACCACCAAUUAUCUUGGCAAAUUAUAAUUUAAAAGAGGGCUAUUAAGUUUCGAUAUCAGUAGAAUCAAUGUGAUUCAAAUCAC
RNAcentral lists this long non-coding RNA (445 nucleotides) under Pan troglodytes (chimpanzee). RNAcentral describes it as "long non-coding RNA NONPTRT014761". The record is from RNAcentral. Lineage: Eukaryota; Metazoa; Chordata; Mammalia; Primates; Hominidae.